RNAcentral lists this ribosomal RNA (164 nucleotides) under uncultured bacterium. Its description in RNAcentral is "partial 16S rRNA". It matches the Rfam family "Bacterial small subunit ribosomal RNA", at positions 355 to 511 of the family's 1533-position model. The record is from RNAcentral.
UAGGGAAUCUUCCACAAUGGACGAAAGUCUGAUGGAGCAACGCCGCGUGAGUGAAGAAGGGUUUCGGCUCGUAAAACUCUGUUGUUAAAGAAGAACAUAUCUGAGAGUAACUGUUCAAGUAUUGACGGUAUUUAACCAGAAAGCCACGGCUAACUACGUGCCAA